AGUGAACGCUGGCGGUAGGCCUAACACAUGCAAGUCGAACGGCAGCACAGUAAGAGCUUGCUCUUACGGGUGGCGAGUGGCGGACGGGUGAGGAAUACAUCGGAAUCUACUUUUUCGUGGGGGAUAACGUAGGGAAACUUACGCUAAUACCGCAUACGACCUACGGGUGAAAGCAGGGGAUCUUCGGACCUUGCGCGAUUGAAUGAGCCGAUGUCGGAUUAGCUAGUUGGCGGGGUAAAGGCCCACCAAGGCGACGAUCCGUAGCUGGUCUGAGAGGAUGAUCGGCCACACUGGAACUGAGACACGGUCCAUACUCCUACGGGAGGCAGCAGUGGGGAAUGUUAGGCAAUGGGCGCAAGCCUGAUCCAGCCAUACCGCGUGGGUGAAGAAGGCCUUCGGGUUGUAAAGCCCUUUUGUUGGGAAAGAAAAGCAGCAGGUUAAUACCCCGCUGUUCUGACGGUACCCAAAGAAUAAGCACCGGCUAACUUCGUG
This 492-nucleotide ribosomal RNA is filed under the name uncultured bacterium. RNAcentral's name for it is "partial 16S ribosomal RNA". It matches the Rfam family "Bacterial small subunit ribosomal RNA", at positions 29 to 507 of the family's 1533-position model. The record is from RNAcentral.